UCCUGUGAAGUUGGGUUCAUGCUGUUCUGAGAGCUCCUGCUGAGAGAGACAACAUUCAUUUGAAAGGCACCUUUUAUAGGGCAGAAUUCUUGGCUUCCCUAAACUGGAGCUACUAGCCAAGAAGACAAAUAAAUUCUUUCGGGGUUAGUAAAUUGGUUUUGUUUAGUCAAAGAAUCAUGAACCCAAGGACGGCUCCAACUUGGCUCUCCGCUGUUAUAGUCACAGCUAUUCUAAAGGGCAUCUAUGGAGCAGACUCAGUGACCCAAACUGAAGGCAGCGUUAUCACCCGCCAAGGGGAUCCGGUGCGUCUGAACUGCACCUAUCAGAUUUCUGGGUUUCCUUACCCCUUCUGGUACGUGCAGUUCCCCAGCCAACACCCCGGAACGUUUUACUCCAUCUAUGACAACACCCUGAAUCCCACGCUCUGGUGGUACGAGCUGUACCCAAAUGAAGCCCCUCGCCUCUUGCUGACACAAUAUGAAGCACUGGAUAAGGAAGAGAGAAAGAUCAGGCGAGGGUUCUCCGCCACACCCAAAGAACAGGAGAGCUUCCACCUGAAAAAAAACUCCAGUGAACUGAGCAACUCUGCCAUCUACUACUGUGGCAUGAGUGACACAAUGAUUGCACCCAGCAGGGUCACUGCAGAAAAACCCACUGGGGGAAGAUGA
Non-coding RNA from Mauremys reevesii (Reeves's turtle), 668 nucleotides. NCBI's taxonomy places the organism in Eukaryota, Metazoa, Chordata, Testudines, Geoemydidae. The record is from the annotation of a RefSeq genome assembly.